GGAAAAUAAAAAAGAGGCACUUUUUGGCAUCUAAAUAAUCCUGCCACACACUGAAACCUGCCUGAAAGGGUGACAAGACUUUUUGUGAGCCUAUGUUCAUGCAUUAGACUUUUUCAUAAAAAAAAAAGCAAAACAACCAACUGUAUUUUGCAUUUGUGAGACUGGAAUUUGUGAGAACCACACAGAAUUCCGGGAACUAACAGUACAAUCUUAUGAAGAAUCAGUUAGGAGUAAAUUCAAGGUAAAGGAGAAGCUGAAAAUGAGCUGACAAUGUCGAUUUGGGGUGACCUCCACAACAUGUCACUGCCAAAGAAUCAGCAUUUAUAAAACCUUCGGUUCUUGGAGGAAUUACAUGCAGAACCCCCCAAAUUUAAAGCCUGCAUAAUCAGUAGUUGCUUAGGAAUUUCUUGGCAGCCGCAUGCCCAUCAGAACAAAGCUACAUCUGUGAACAACAAGCCUGAGGAACACGUUCUGCAAACCCCGAAAUUCUAUUUCCAGCCUCCAAUACAGACAUUUACAAGCAAUUCUGCCAGUAACCAGCAGUAAUUUUAGUGCAAAGUUUGUUUCCAAGCUCUUGAAAGCACCUACUCUGUGUAAAGCACUGGGAAUAGCAACUACCAUCUUUACCCUGUCUGCAGCAAUUACAUUUUUCCUCCCCUUGAAGCUCAAAAAAUCGAGGCACAGACUGGAUGAAAAAACUGCUGAGCUGCUGAAAUUGCCAGGAAAGCCCAGGGUGUGCUAUCCAGAAGAGGUGGAGUCUAUAACAAAUCCAGGUUCCUCACUGAUAUUCUCAGAGAUUGUGUGACUGUACAGAAUUCAGAGCCAUUCCACCUCCAGUCCCACAGCCACAACCCCUCUGUGUUUAUCUCCUGUCACUCCAUCCUUCUGUGCAGGAAACCAUGGGGUUUGCUGCAGGAGUGGCUUUAAAGCCAGCUGCAAACGUUUACAUCCCAAAAGGUAUCAGGUGUUCAUAAAAAAACCUGAUUUUGUUGUGGGUGCAGAGCUGGGAAACACAAACCUGGAAGUCAGGGCCUGGCUCAGCGUGAGCAGACUCAGCUCCCAAAGUGGAGGAUCUUAAACGUCCAAGGGGCAAGAUCCUGCUCAGAUUCCCUGCUCUGGGGCAGGUGGGUCUGGCACGGCCAGCAGGGAGGGACUUGGUGCUUUCUAGGGGCUCUCAGAGGGGUUUAUGGCCCUGCAGCCCUCCUGGGAAUGCAGCUCAGCUCCAGACACAGAGAACACCACUGGGAACCUGCAAAUAAACCUCUG
RNAcentral lists this long non-coding RNA (1266 nucleotides) under Taeniopygia guttata (zebra finch). Its description in RNAcentral is "lncRNA (ENSTGUG00000026930.1)". The record is from RNAcentral. Lineage: Eukaryota; Metazoa; Chordata; Aves; Passeriformes; Estrildidae.